CUGAAUUACUGUGACCGUACAGGACGACAUACACCGUCAAAUCUCUCUCCCCGGGAAAUCUGAUUCAGGUCCAUUAAACUGUGCGCCUACUUAACAUAAUCCCUGCCUGAAAUGUGCACCGCGGAUGCACCAUGUGUGGUGCUGUCACCCAGCUUUGAGCGAUGCCUAAGAGGUCGAAUGCAGCCCUUCUGGGUACGAAGAGCAAGGCACGGAACUCCAGCUGACCCUCCACUGAGAAAUGCUGCAGACAUGAAUGAAACAGCCUCAUGGCUCAAGGAGGGUCGCUAUUGCUAAUGGUGGAUGAACAUAUGUUCCUUCUGUCAAUCAAGGACUUGCCAUUUGGAAGAGGGCUGGAGUUCUGAAGCUUUCCCCAACCCCCAAAGGCUUCACCAUGCGUCAUUCAACACCUUUAUGUUAAAGGAGGAAUUAGCAGCUAGGAAUUCAGCUUU
Molecule: long non-coding RNA, 449 nt
Organism: Micropterus dolomieu (smallmouth bass)
Lineage: Eukaryota; Metazoa; Chordata; Actinopteri; Centrarchiformes; Centrarchidae
Exons: 3
Source: RefSeq, a predicted model, not a curated record